RNAcentral lists this long non-coding RNA (12171 nucleotides) under Nicotiana tabacum (common tobacco). Its description in RNAcentral is "long non-coding RNA (NTAB_LNC002094)". The record is from RNAcentral. Lineage: Eukaryota; Viridiplantae; Streptophyta; Magnoliopsida; Solanales; Solanaceae.
UCUCCAACACCUGACUCUGCACAAAAAUAUGCAGAAGUGUAGUAUGAGUACACCACGGUCGGUACCCACUAAGUAUCAAGACUAACCUCAGUGGAGUGGAGACGAGGUAUAGUCAAGACACUCACUUAUUUAAUAACAUGUGCAAUAUAAUAUACAAAAUAAUGGGAAACAAAUAACAAUAAGGGCAACAUAAAUCAAACAGUGAUAUGCACAACAAGACAACAAGAACACCAUUAAUAUUGCUCAUCAAAUAAUAAAUACAAGUACACCCAAUUAAAUCAAGUCCUUCAAAUAAAUAUCUUUCAACUAUAAUUUCCUCAAAUAAAUAUCUUUCAAAUGCAAAUUCUUUCAUAUAAUACUUUUUGAAUAAAAAUCCUUCCAAAUAAAUAUUUUGAAUAUAAUUCUUUCAAUUAAAAGUCACCAUGUGACACCACAUUUCAUAAUCAUAAAAAUACGGGUCUCAGCCCUUUUUCAUAUUUUUUGCAAAUACGGGUCUCAGCCCACUUUCAUAUUUCAACGGCACUUCGUGCCCAAAAUUAAAUCAUCAUAUUUUUCUUGCACCUCGUGCCCAUGUUUCAUAUCCCAAUUGCACGGAUGAUUCACGUGCCAAUAUCAUCAUUAUUUACUCACGGCACCUCGUGCCCAUAUUUCAUUUCAUAAUCCACCUGGCAAUAACCACAGGCUCCCAUUUUUAACAUAGAUUAGACUAUUAUCAAGUUUACCGAAACAAUAAGACAAAUUUCACAAGAUAAAAAAAAAAUACAAGAAAGAUCACAACAUCACAUAGAAAUUACCAACACAAUAACUCCACAUCGUCAUAUAUCAUCCCUGACAAUAGCCACCCUUAUCUCUCCUAUAGCCACCUUUAUCACUCUUAUAAUAGCCUCAAUUAUCCCUCUGCCCUGACUAUAUCAAUAGCCACCCUUAUCGCUCAUAUAGCCACCAUAUCACUCCAAUGGCCAUCCUUAUCGCUCCUAUAGCCACCCUUAUCGCUCCGCCCAGACAAUAUCCCAACACACAUAACAACAGUGAAAUGCCUCCCUUUUACCCACAUAAUAUCAACAGUAAAACACCACCCUUAUAUCCUCAAAAUGAUAACUCAAUUAACACAAUAAUUUACACGAAAUAUUAUCACGACAACGUACCAAAAUCAAUUCAUAUCACAAUUUGCCUGAUGGCCACAACCAAUUCCAAGGAUAUAACAAAAUUAAUUAAUUUUACAACAAUCAGCCCAAUGCUCCACACAAAAACUCAAAAACAAUCAACAGAGAUAGAAAACAAUCAACAUAGGGCACACCUUCAUUAAUCCAAAUUUAGAUAAUUAUAUUAACACUUCUUCUUAAGCUUGCUUAAUUAAUUAUUUGCAUAGAAAAAAUUCAUAAUGAAAUUAAACUCCAAGAAAUAUCAAACCAUCAAACUCACGGAAUUCACAUAAGUAUACAAGUAAUAAUUACAUCGAAUUGUCAUAUAAAAACAACUUCAAUAAUUGUAAUUUAUGGCAUGGCAAUUAGAUGAUUAAAUAUUACAUAAUGUGCCAACAAUUAUACAAUUUAUUACAUAAUAUGCCCAAGACUUUAACUCAAUAAAUUUUUCACAUAUAAGCCCGAGUACGUACUCAUCACCUCGCGUACACGGCUUUUCACAUUUCACAAAUGGCACAUAUAACUCGAUGCCUAAGGGGUAUUUCCCCCACUCGAGGUUAGGCAAUACACUUACCUUUUUGAAAUAAUGCCGAUAUUCCAAAAUCGCCUUCUUGCUUGAAUUAACCUCCGGACAACUCAAAUCUAUCCAAAUUAAUUGUACAACUUCAUUAAAAUUCAUCGAAAAUAAAUUCCGGAUAAUAAAACGUCGACUUGAAAAUUUAUUCUAAAAAGUCAACAAACGUCAACGCGGGGCCCGCCCCUCGAAAGCCGACAUAAGUUUUACGAAAUACGAACACCCAUUCCGAUACGAGUCCAACCAUACCAAUUUUAUCGAAUUCCAAUAACAACUCGACCUCCAAAUCUUAAAUUUUCAUUUUUAGAAGAUUUUGCAAAAAUCUUGAUUUCCUCCAUUAAAAUCCGAAUUAAAUGAUGAAUAUAACCAUAGAUUCAUGAAAUAUAAUCACUUUAGGAUGUAGAAAACUUACCCCAGUCGAAGUCAUGAAGCAACCCUCAAAAUCGCCCAAGAACUGAGCUCAAAAAUCAAUUUUUGUGUUAUGAACUCAAACCCUCGAUUUGGAACUUAACACUAUCUACUCAGAUUUCCUUAUUCGCGAACGUGACCGUCCUCUCGCGUUUGUAUAGACCAACUUGACUUCCUCUCCACUUUACUCUUCGCGAACGCGACACAUGACUCGCGAACGUGAUACUUUACUAGAUCAGACCUUCGGGAAUGCGACCACAACCUCGCGAACGCGUAGAACAAGGACAUGGGGUCCCCAACUGCCUCACUCCUCUUCGCGAACGCGACACUGCCCUUCGCGAACGCGAACGCGUCCUCCCCUUCGCGAACGUGAAGAACAAAAUCUCACCACUCAGAAAACACUCUCUGCGAAUGCGAGGGCCCACUCGCGAACGUGAAAGAGGAAACCAAAAGAAUGCAGCACCAGAUAUCAGCAAUCUCACCAAGGUUAAAUAUGAUCUGUUAACCACCUGAAACUCACUCGAGGCCCUCGGGACCUCAACCAAAUAUACCAACGCGUCUCAUAACAUCAUACGAACUUAGUCGAACCUUCAAAUCACCUUCAACAACACCAAAAAUACGAAUUACACACGGAUUCAAGCCUAAUGAACUUAGAAAUUUCUGAAUUCCACAAACCACGUCCGAAUUACCUCAAAUUUUGCACAAAAGUCAGAAAUGACACAACGAAGCUAUUCAAAUUUCCAGAAUUGGAUUCUGACCCUGAUAUCAAAAAGUCAACCCCUCAGUCAAACCUCCCAAAAAAUUCAUCUUUCGUCAUUUCAAGCCUAAUUCCACUACAUACCUCCAUAAAAUUUUCCGGACAUGCUCCUAAGUUCAUAAUCACCAUACGGAGCUAUUGACAUCAUCAAAAUUCCAUUGUGGAGUCGUUUGCUCAAAAGUCAACUCUCCGAUCAACUCUUUCCAUUUAAGCUUCUAAAUAAGGAUUGUUCUUUUAAUUUAAUUCUGAAUCUUCAAUAAUUCAAACUCGACCACACCCGCGGGUCAUAAUACAUAUUGCAAAGCUGCUCGAGACCUUAAGUCACUGAACGAGGCAUAAUUCUUAAAAUGACAAGUCGGGUCGUUAUAUUCUCCACCUCUUAAACAAAUGUUCGUCCUCGAACGUGCUAUGAAUUAUUCUGAGGUUACCAAAUUGAUGAUUUUUCUUUUACACAUAUACUCGCGGUUGAUCCCACAUUACCGCAUUUGAGAUAAGCCCGACAACACCAUCUCAUUUGAGAUUAUUUUAUUUUAUCCAUAUUUGUAAACUUUAAGACCAAUUUCUUACACUCCAAACAUUUUCAAAAGGCCUGAUUUUUACAUCAACGUAUGGUGUUAGUCUCAACUGGCUAUAGAAACUCGUGCCUACGCACACAUCAACUUUCUUGAUAGUGUUGAAGUACUUUAAAAAAAAUUUGGGGUGUUACAUUAUCCCCCGCUUAGGAUCACUCGCCCUCAAACACAUAACAUAACUUAUCUCUUCUUUUGCAUGUCUCAAUCCCCCAAAUUUUACUAACUCCCAAAUUUUUCAAAAAUUUCGGCAGAGUCUCCCUUGUAAUUGGACAUAUCCACCUGGCAGAGUAACACCAAAACAACUCCUAACAGCACAUUCACAACCCAAAAAAGCAUCACAGUGUAUAUAUCGAUAACACUAAUCUCAGCGUUACAAGCAUUGCGUUAUCAUAAUGAUAUCAGGACAUGAAGCACAUCAUAUGUAUGCCUAUCACCACAUCUCUGGUCUUAAAAGCUGUUCAUAAUUAAUUCCAGCAUCAUCAAUUAAUCUCAUAUUAACCAACACCUCGUUUCGAAUUUUUACAACACUGACAAUAGAAUGUGAGGCAUGAAGACCUCAUAACUAUUUACCCGACUUAACGAGUCACAUUUAACGCCACCUAGGCACUCGCCUCGUAGGCUAAAACUCAAUAAUUACAGCACAAUUAUGGCACAGAAACACAUAAAAGAAUUAUCACAUAAGCCUAUCAGGCAUAACUCCCUAUUAGUACUAUAGUACAAAUUAAACUUCACAAAGGGAGAAUUUAAACUCAUAAAUAUUUCACCACAAGGACCUCAUUCUUAUAUAACUUCCACCGUGGCUUGUAGCCCGAUUUAAAUAUUUCACAUCAUAUAUAAAAAGAAAAUGCGAGGAUCUCGUCCUCAACUCUGAAUCGCUAGUAUUAUGCACAUUGUGCCAACUAAAAUUUUAAUUUCCUUUCUUUCUUAUUUUCAAUAAAUUUCGUAAAUAUUUUUCAUAACACAUAAUGAACCCUCAUACCACUAGGGCAUAUAAUUCAUAAAAUUGGAAUCAAUUAUUUCGAAACACAUCAAACCCACUGUAAUGAAUAAUAAAAAUUACUUUUGGACUUAUAACCCUCAAUGGUGCCCAAAAAUAAAAAUGACAGACACGGGCUCACCUUUUCAAAUCUCCCAAUAGGGAUAAACAUAUAAGUAGGUCACAAGACUACGAAGCUCACCCAUAAGCGGAGCAUAAUAGGAGGACUCACCUCAAUAUUCAGAACCGAAUCAAAUUAAGAAUAAUGCUCUCUUUUUUUAUUGUAAAUAGAUCCAUACUUGUAACGACACUAUCUGGUGUAUCGGUCUCAGCCAAAUCAUAGAAAUUAUAUCAACGGGUCGGGCCUCCACCUCUUAGGCGCCCUCUACCCGCCUGUCCUCCACCCCUAAUUGGUUGUGCCCGUGGAGUAUUAGCUGCACUGGGUCCAUAGUCUGAGUGUUCUGAUAAAAUCCACUCCUUCCAAGUCUGGGGCAAUCUCUCAUAAUGUGCCUAGUAUCACCACACUCAUAAAAACCCCUCUGAGGUCGCGAUUGCUCGUACUGAGUCUGUGCCGGAUAACUGGAAUAACCAUUAUAGGAAUCUCGUGCCGGUGGUGCAUCGUAAGAAGAGCACUCCAAGAAAUCUUAUGUGCGGACUGAGCUGGCCGACUGCUCGAGCCUCCGCUAUAAUGGGUCUUAGCUGAGGAGUAAAAUCCACUGAAUCCUCUAGAGCCUCGAGAUCGUUUGGCCUCCUUAGACUCCAUUUCCUCGCCUAGAACACUCUCAAUCUUCCUCGCAAUCUCCAUUACUUGUUGAAAUGGGGUAUCAGUUUGCAACUCCCGAGUCAUGUAUAUUUUAAUAUUAUAAUCGAGCCCCUCAAUGAAUCUGCGGACCCGCUCUCUGACUGUAGGAACCAAGAUAGGUGCAUGACGGGCUAACUCACUGAACCUGAUGGCAUAUUCUGACACUGUCAUAAUGCCCUGAUGCAAUCGUUCAAACUCUGUGCACCACGCAUCUCAGAAAGUCUGGGAACAAACUCUUUCAAAAAUAUUUCCGAAAAUUGAGCCCAAGUUGGUGGUAUUGCAUCGGCUGGUCUACCUUCUUCAUAGAUUUUCCACCACUGAAACGUUACGCCUGACAGUUGAAAUGUAGUAGAGGCAACUCCGCUCACUUCCACAAUACCCAUGGUGCGAAGAAUACAGUGACAAUUUUCUAGAAAUCCUUGGGCAUCCUCUGUAGUUGUGUAACUGAAGGUAAGUGGACUAUACCUUCUAAACCUCUCAAGUCUCUUUUGUUCUUCUUCUGAUGCCUCUGGCCUAACCUCAUGCUGAACCAGAAUAACAAGUUGUACUGGUACUACACCCGGAACCUGACCAACAUGAACUUGCUGCUCUGAAGUUGUGGUAGGAGUCUGAGCUACUCCCCCAAUCUGCGAAAUAUUUGGUGCAACAGAGAUCAAUCCCGCCUGAGUUAAUGUACCAAACAUACUCAGGAGCUGUGUUAAAGUCUCCUGAAGUCCGGGGAUAACAGCAGGUGCUUCUAGUACCUGUCCCCCAACUGGAGUUACUGGCUGCUCCUCAAUUGCUGCUCUGACAGGUGCUCUAGUCGCGACACGUGCCCUUUCUCGGCCUCUACCUCAGCCUCUGCCUCGGCCCCGGCCUCUUGCAACCCUAGUAGUAUGUGAGGAUGCCUGCUCAGCUAACCCGGUAGCGCGUGUCCUAACUAUCUGUGAGAGAAUAAAGAUAUAAAGGCUCAAAUUCCACAAUCAACAAAUCUGCACGACAGGAAUAAAAGAAGUGGAAAUUUUCUAACUGUUUUGUAGCCUAUCGAAGAUAAGUACAGACGUCUUCGUGCCGAUCCGCAAGACUCUACUAGACUCGUUCAUGACUCGUAGAACCUAUGAACCUAGAGCUCUUAUACCAACUUGUCAUGACCCAAAAUCCCACCACAGGCAUCGUGAUGGCACUUAGUCUCUAAGACUAAGUAAGCCGAUUUCAAUUACAUUUCAAGCCUUUUUUUUAUAUAUAGAAACUAGCAGCGUAAAUAAUAAAAUAACCUCCCAAGACUGGUAGUACUGAGUCACGAACUCUAACUGAAUACAUGCAAUGAUCUCAAGGAUCAAAUAAAUAGCAUUGUUCGAAUAAGAGUUGACAGUACAAUAAAAUGGAAAGACUCUAAGGGAUUGCGACGACCAAGCAGCUCUACCUUGAAUCAUUGCGAUCACACUUUAGCUCUGUCCGAGUCCGAUAUCUCCAACACAUGACUCUGCACAAAAAUAUGCAGAAGUGUAGUAUGAGUACACCACGGUCAGUAUCCAGUAAGUAUCAAGACUAACCUCAGUAGAGUAGAGACGAGGUAUAGUCAAGACACUCACUUGUUUAAUAACCUGUGCAAUAUAAUAUAAAAAAUAAUGAAAAACAAAUAACAAUAACGGCAACACAAAUCAAACAGUGAUAUGCAUAGCAGGGCAACAAGAACACCAUUAAUAUUGCUCAACAAAUAAUAAAUACAAGUACACCCAAUUAAAUCAAGUCCUUCAAAUAAAUGUCUUUCAAAUAUAAUUUUCUCAAAUAAAUAUCUUUCAAAUGCAAAUUCUUUCAUAUAAUAUUUUUUGAAUAAAAUUCCUUCCAAAUAAAUAUUUUGAAUAUAAUUCUUUCAAUUAAAAGUCACCAUGUGACACCCCAUUUCAUAAUCAUAAAAAUAUGGGUCUCACCCUUUUUUCAUAUUUAUCGUAAAUAUGGGUCUCAGCCCACUUUCAUAUUUUCAUGGCACUUCGUGCCCAAAAUUAAAUCAUUAUAUUUUCCUCGCACCUCGUGCCCACGUUUCAUAUCCCAAUUGCACGGACGAUUCACGUGUCAAUAUCAUCAUUAUUUACUCACGGCACCUCGUGCCCACAUUUUAUUUUAUAAUCCGCUUGGCAAUAGCCACAUGCUCUCAUUUUCAACCUAGAUUAGACUAUUAUCAAGUCUACCGAAACAACAAGACAAAUUUCACAAGAUAUAAAAAAAAACACAAGAAAGAUCACAACAUCACAUAGAAACUACCAAUGCAAUAACUCCACAUCGUCAUAUAUCAUCCCUGACAAUAUCCACUCUUAUCUCUCCUAUAGCCACCCUUAUCACUCUUAUAAUAGCCUCCCUUUAUCCAUCUGCCCUCACUAUAUCAAUAGCCACCCUUAUCGCUCAUAUAGCCACCCUUAUCGCUCCAAUAGCCAUCCUCAUCGCUUAUAUAGCUACCCUUAUCGCUCCGCCCAGAUAAUAUCCCAACAUACAUAACAACAGUGAAAUGCCUCCCUUAUACCCACAUAAUAUCAACAGUGAAAUGCCACCCUUAUAUCCUCAAAAUGAUAACUCAACUAACAUAACAAUUUACAUUGAAUAUUAUCACGGCAACGUAACAAAAUCAGUUCAUAUCACAAUUUGCCCAAUGGGUACAAUCAAUUUCAAGAAUAUAACAAAAUCAAUUAAUUUCACAACAAUCAGCCCAAUGCUCCACACAAAAACUCAAAAACAAUCAACAGAGAUAGAAAACAAUCAACAUAGGGCACACCUUUAUUAAUCCAAAUUUAGAUAAUUAUAUUAACACUUCUUCUUAAGCUUGCUUAAUUAAUUAUUUGCAUAGAGAAAAUUCAUAAUAAAAUUAAACUCCAAGAAAUAUCAAACCAUCAAACUCACGGAAUUCACAUAAGUAUACAAGUAAUAAUUAAAUCGAAUUGUCAUAUAAAAACAACUUCAAUAAUUGUAAUUUGUGGCAUGGCAAUUAGAUUAUUAAAUAUGUGCCAACAAUUAUCCAAUUUACUACACAAUAUACCGAAGUCUUUAUCUCAAUAAAUUUUGCACAUAUAAGCCCGAGUACGUACUCGUCACCUCGCGUACACGGCUUUUCACAUUUCAAAAAUGGCAUAAAGACUCGAUGCAUAAGGGGUAAUUCCCCCACUCAAGGUUAGGCAAGACACUUAUCUUUUUGAAGUUAUGCCGAUAUUCCAAAAUCACCUUCUUGCUUGAAUUAACCUCCGGACAGCUCAAAUCUAUCUAAAUUAAUUGUACAACUUCAUUAAAAUUCAUCAAAAACAAAUUCCGGAUAAUAAAACGUUGACUUAAAAAUUUAUUCUAAAAAGUCAACAAAAGUCAAUGUGGGGCCCGCCCCUCGGAACCCGACAUAAUUUCUAUGAAAUUCGAUCACUCAUUCCGAUACGAGUCCAACCAUACCAAUUUUAUCGAAUUCCAAUAACAACUCAACCUCCAAAUCUUAAAUUUUCGCUUUUGGAAGAUUUUGCAAAAAACUUGAUUUCUUCCAUUAAAAUUCGAAUUAAAUGAUAAAUAUAACCAUAGAUACAUGAAGUAUAAUCACUUUAGGAUGUAGAAAACUUACCCCAGUCGAAGUCAUGAAGAAACCCUCAAAAUCGCCCAAGAACCAAGGUCAAAAAUUAUUUCUUUUGUGUUAUGAACUCAAACCCUCGAUUUGGAAUUUGACACUGUCUGCCCAGAUUUCCUUCUUCGCGAACGCGACCGUCCUCUCGCGUACACAUAGACCAACUUGACUGCCUCUCCACUUUACUCUUCGCGAACGCGACACAUGACUCACGAACGUGAUGCUUUACUAGCUCAGACCUUCGCGAACGCGACCAUAACCUCGCGAACGCGUAGAACAAGGACCUGGGGUCCCCAACUUCCUCACUCCUCUUUGCGAACGCGACACUGCUCCCGCGUUCGCGAUGCACACGCAGACCACACUUUCGCGUUCGCGUCCUCCCCUUCGCGAAUGCGAAGAACAAAUCUCACCACUUAGAAAAUACUUCGCGAAUGCGAGGGCCCACUUGCGAACGCGAAAGAGGAAACCAGAAGAAUGCAACAGGAGAUAUUAGUAAUCUUCCCAAGGCCAAAAAUGAUCAGUUAACCACCCGAAACUCACCCGAGGCCCUCGGGACCUCAACCAAACAUACAAACGCAUCCCAUAACAUCAUAUGAACUUAGUCGAACCUUCAUAUCACCUUCAACAAUACCAAAAACACGAAUUACACACGGAUUCAAGUCUAAUGAACUUAGAAAUUUUUGAAUUCCACAAAUGACGUUGAAACCUACCAAACCAUGUCCGAAUGACCUCAAAUUUUGCACACAAGUAAGAAAUGACACAACAAAGCUAUUCAAAUUUCUGGAAUCGGAUUCUGACCCCGAUAUCAAAAGGUCAACCCCCCGGUCAAACCUCUAAAAAAUUUAUCUUUCGUCAUUUCAAGCCUAAUUCCACUACAAACCUCCAAAUAAUUUUCCAAAUACACUCCUAAGUCCAUAAUCACCAUACGGAGCUAUUGACAUCAUCAAAAUUUCAUUCCGGAGUCGUUUUCUCAAAAGUUAACUCUCUGGUCAACUCUUUCCAUUUAAGCUUCUAAAUAAGGAUUGUUCUUUUAAUUUAAUUUCGAAUCUUCAGUAAUUCAAACUCGACCACACCCACGGGUCAUAAUACAUAUUGCGAAACUUCUCGAGAUAUUAAGUCACUGAACGGGGCGUAAAUUCUUAAAACGACAAGUCGGGUCGUUACACAAACUAUCCAAAUGUGCCUUUGGGCAAGAUAGAGUGGAGUAUCUUGGCCACAUUAUCUCUUGUAAAAGGGUAGCUACUAACCUUACCAAGAUUGAUUCAAUGGUUAAUUGGCCUGUGACCAGGUCAAUGAAAGCUCUUAGGGGGGUUUUGGGACUCACUGGGUACUGCAGGAGGUUUGUGAAAUCUUAUGGAAUCAUUAGUAGAUCUCUAACUAACUUACUCAAGAAAAAUUCAUUCCAGUGGAAUGAGGAAGCAGAAUUGGCCUUUCAGCAACUGAAGACAGCCAUGUCUACAACACCUUCUUAGCCUUGGCUGACUUUACCAAAUCUUUUAUUGUUGAAAUUGAUGCUUGUGCUACAAGUAUAGGGGUUAUCCUAAUGCAAGAAGGGAGACUUAUAGCUUACCUUAACAACGCAUUAGCCUUGAAGAACGGGGGUUUAUCUACAUAUGAGAAGGAAUAUUUAGCUAUCCUAACUGUAGUAGAAAAGUGGAGGCAUUACUUGCAGGGUGGUUGCUUUAUUAUAAGAACAGACCAUCAAAGCUUGUAGUACCUUCUGGAGCAGAAAGUAACCACAACUCUUCAACAAAGGGGUCUUACUAAACUCCUGGGAUUGGAUUAUGAGGUUCAGUACAAAAAGGGAUCUGAAAAUAGGGCAACUAAUGCCUUUUCUAGAAGAAUGAAAGAGGGUGGAGAGUGUACAUUAAUUACUAGUCAUCUCUUCUACACAAGCUACCUAGUUACAAAAGGUAUGUCUCAACUAUGAGGGUGAUCUUGCAGCUUCUCAACUACUAGGAGCACUGACAGUAUCUACUAAGGACUAUUCCUUGAAUCAAGGGGUGAUCAGGUCUAAACAGAAAAUCCAUGUGGGAAAAGGAAAUGAACUAAGACAGAAAAUAUGGGAAGAGUUGCAUCAGUCACCAGUUGGGGGCCAUUUGGGUCAGCAGGGCAUACAUGAGAGUGAAGUCCAUCUUCUACUGGCCUAGCAUGAAGACAGAAAUUUUCAGGAAGGUGAGUGAAUGUGAUGUAUGUCAAAGGGUGAAGAAAGAACAAGUUCAUUCUCCAGGGUUAAUACAACCCCUCUCAAUACCUGAACAUGCUUGGCAUGACAUAUCACUAGAUUUUGUGGAAGGGUUACCUUUUUCUGGACAAAAGAGUGCCAUAUGAGUGGUAGUGGACAGGUUCACUAAAUAUGGGCAUUUCCUAGCACUUAAAUACCCCUUCACAACUCAAGAGGUGGCAGACCUAUUCCUUAAAGAAAUCUACAGGCUACAUGGGCUUCCCAAAACUAUAGUAUCAGAUAAAGAAGCUAUUUUCACCAGCCAUUUCUGAUAGCAUCUCUUUAAAACCUUGGGAACUAAACUCAACAUGAGCUCAGCAUAUCACCCACAAUCUGAUGGGCAGAAAGAAAGGCUUAAUAGAUGCUUGGAGACUCAUCUCAGAGCCAUGAUCUUUGAUAAACAUAAACAGUAGACUAAAUGGUUACAUUUGGCAGAAUGGUGGUACAAUACAAAUUACCACACUUCCCUUAAAACCACACCAUUUGAGGCUUUGUAUGGCUACCCACCAGUCUAGUUACCACUGGGAUUCCUAGCCAACCCAAACCAGAACUCAACAGGGGUGUGUCUAGCUCAAAGGCAACAAGCGCUUCAGACACUUAAAGAAAAUCUCACUCAAGCUCAGUCAAGAAUGAAGUUCUACGCAGAUCGACUAAGGAUUGAACGAACUCUGGAGGUUGGGGACCAAGUCUACCUCAAACUUUAGCCCUAUCGACAAUCUUCUAUUGAUGUAAGGAAAAAUGUUAAACUAUGUGCCCGCUACUAUGGCCUUACAAGACUUUAUAAAAGAUCGGAACAGUGGCUUACCGAUUAGAACUACCAGUAGUCUCCCAGCUACAUCCGGUCUUCCAUGUGUCUCAGUUGAAGAAGCGAGUGGGCCCUGCUAUAGUUCCUCAGUCGCAACCUCUAGUGCGUGAUGUAGAAGGCAUAGUAUUGAUCCAACCUUUGGCGAUUUUACAAAGAAGAAUGGUUAAAGUCAACAAUGGGGUAGCAGUGAAGGUGUUGAUUUAAUGGGCUAAUCUAGGAAAAGACGACGCUUCUUGGGAGGAUUGGGGCUAUAUCAAGAGCAGAUUCCCAGAAUUUAUGGCUCAACGACGACCUUGAGGACAAGGUUGUUCUUGAAGGAGUGGGGAAUGUUAUGUCUGAGGAA